CUUGGUCAUUUAGAGGAAGUAAAAGUCGUAACAAGGUUUCCGUAGGUGAACCUGCGGAAGGAUCAUUAUUGAAAUGACCUUUCUUCUUUAGGCAUAGAGUACUGUUGCUGGCCUUGUAGUAAUAAUGAGGUAUGUGCACGUCCUAUGGUUCUAACGAGGAGAGUGUACUUCUAUUCAUCCACCUGUGCAUUUGUUGUAGGAGUUCUUUGAGGCUGUUUUAUACUUGUACAAUCCGGCUCUUAAAAGAUUUCUAUGUCUUACACACUAUUAGUAUGUCUUUGAAUGUCUUUUAUUGGGACUUGAUUGGCCCUUUAAACUUGUACAACUUUUAGCAACGGAUCUCUUGGCUCUCCCAUCGAUGAAGAACGCAGCGAAAUGCGAUAAGUAAUGUGAAUUGCAGAAUUCAGUGAAUCAUCGAAUCUUUGAACGCACCUUGCGCCCUCUGGUAUUCCGGAGGGCAUGCCUGUUUGAGUGUCAUUAAAUUCUCAACUUCAAUAGCUUUUAUUAGCUUUAUUGAUGCUUGGUUGUGGGAGCUUGCUGGCGUUUUAGAUGUUCGGCUCUCCUUAAAGUGAUUAGUAGAAACCUUUUUGUUAGGUUACUCCUAGUGUGAUAAUUAUCUACGCUUUGAGCAAUCUAAUGAUUCCAUUGGGGCUUGAGAUUUCUCAGUAGCUAAUACUGGUCUGGAUAUUGCAAUUAAUUUUGCUGUAUCUAUUAGUCUCUCAGUAGUAAUACUGGUUUUUGGCAUUGCGAUUAAUCUUGCUUUACCUGUGGCCUCAGAGGGAGAAAGGGAAGUUCUGCUUUCUAACUGUCUAUGGACAAUUUAUUGACUAUUUGACCUCAAUCAUGUAGGACUACCCGCUGAACUUAAGCAUAUCAAUAAGCGGAGGA
RNAcentral lists this ribosomal RNA (888 nucleotides) under uncultured fungus. RNAcentral's name for it is "eukaryotic LSU rRNA". The stretch from base 324 to 477 matches the Rfam family "5.8S ribosomal RNA". The record is from RNAcentral. Lineage: Eukaryota; Fungi.